UAGAGUAAUGCGUGACCAACCUGCCCCAUGCUCCAGAAUAGCUCUUGGAAACGGGUGGUAAUGCUGGAUGCUCCAACUUGACGCAUGUCUUGUUGGGAAAGUGUUUAGUGGCAUGGGAUGGGGUCGCGUCCUAUCAGCUUGUAGGCGGGGUAAUGGCCCACCUAGGCUUCGACGGGUAGCCGGCCUGAGAGGGCGGACGGCCACAUUGGGACUGAGAUACGGCCCAGACUCCUACGGGAGGCAGCAG
RNAcentral lists this ribosomal RNA (247 nucleotides) under uncultured Gardnerella sp. RNAcentral describes it as "partial 16S ribosomal RNA". It matches the Rfam family "Bacterial small subunit ribosomal RNA", at positions 107 to 354 of the family's 1533-position model. The record is from RNAcentral. Lineage: Bacteria; Bacillati; Actinomycetota; Actinomycetes; Bifidobacteriales; Bifidobacteriaceae.